CCUACGGGUGGCAGCAGUGGGGAAUAUUGGACAAUGGGGGGAACCCUGAUCCAGCCAUGCCGCGUGUGUGAAGAAGGCCCUCGGGUUGUAAAGCACUUUCAGUGAGGAAGAACGCCUGGUGGUUAAUACCCAUCAGGAAAGACUUCACUCACAGAAGAAGCACCGGCUAACUCCGUGCCAGCAGCCGCGGUAAUACGGAGGGUGCGAGCGUUAAUCGGAAUUACUGGGCGUAAAGCGCGCGUAGGUGGCUUGAUAAGCCGGUUGUGAAAGCCCCGGGCUCAACCUGGGAACGGCAUCCGGAACUGUCAAGCUAGAGUGCAGGAGAGGAAGGUAGAAUUCCCGGUGUAGCGGUGAAAUGCGUAGAGAUCGGGAGGAAUACCAGUGGCGAAGGCGGCCUUCUGGACUGACACUGACACUGAGGUGCGAAAGCGUGGGUAGCAAACAGGAUUAGAUACCCGUGUAGUC
This 465-nucleotide ribosomal RNA is filed under the name Vreelandella stevensii. RNAcentral describes it as "partial 16S ribosomal RNA". It matches the Rfam family "Bacterial small subunit ribosomal RNA", at positions 338 to 795 of the family's 1533-position model. Lineage: Bacteria; Pseudomonadati; Pseudomonadota; Gammaproteobacteria; Oceanospirillales; Halomonadaceae. The record is from RNAcentral.